UCAGGUUCCACCUCAGAAUCUCCCCAGCCCUCAGGGAGUUAGAGAAAGAAAAUGAGAUGUCCUUCGAAGAGGAUCAGAGACCACUGAAGAUCUUGACCCAGAUCCUUUUGCAUUGGCUAAGUGACUCAAGUCAUCCUGACAUCUUUCUUCCCUCUGGACUGUGGAUCUCCACUGAAGAAUAUGACCUUCCCCAACCCUUAACCUUCCAGUGCAGCUAUGGUCUCUUACAUCUACACCUACAAAGACGCUGGUCUUUGUAACACUGCUAUUUUAAUAUUUUAUAGUUUCAG
Long non-coding RNA from Canis lupus familiaris (dog), 290 nucleotides. RefSeq lists it as uncharacterized. The transcript is spliced from 3 exons. The record is from RefSeq and is a predicted model, not a curated record. NCBI's taxonomy places the organism in Eukaryota, Metazoa, Chordata, Mammalia, Carnivora, Canidae.